UUUCGCAAUGCCCGAAAGGGUGACGAAGCGACGCCGCGUGUGGGAAGUAGGCCUUCGGGUUGUAAACCACUGUCGGGAGUUAAGAAAGGUGUACGGGUAAAUAGUCCGUGCAUUUGACAAAAGCUCCGGAGGAAGCCACGGCUAACUCUGUGCCAGCAGCCGCGGUAAUACAGAGGUGGCAAGCGUUGUUCGGAAUUAUUGGGCGUAAAGAGCACGUAGGCGGCCCUGCAAGUCAGCUGUGAAAGCCUCCUGCUUAACGGGAGAAGUGCAGUUGAAACUACGGGGCUAGAGUGCGGAAGGGGAGAGUGGAACUUCUGGUGGAGCGGUGAGAUGCGUAGAUAUCAGAAGGAACACCGGCGGCGAAAGCGGCUCUCUGGUCCGUAACUGACGCUGAGGUGCGAAAGCCAGGGGAGCAAACGGGAUUAGAUACCCCGGUAGUCCUGGCCGUAAACGAUGGGCACUAAGUAGAGGGGUUUU
Molecule: ribosomal RNA, 477 nt
Filed under: uncultured Planctomycetales bacterium
Lineage: Bacteria; Pseudomonadati; Planctomycetota; Planctomycetia; Planctomycetales
Description: bacterial SSU rRNA
Rfam family: Bacterial small subunit ribosomal RNA
Source: RNAcentral